Molecule: long non-coding RNA, 1149 nt
Organism: Podarcis raffonei (Aeolian wall lizard)
Lineage: Eukaryota; Metazoa; Chordata; Lepidosauria; Squamata; Lacertidae
Exons: 2
Source: RefSeq, a predicted model, not a curated record
ACCCUAACCCUCUGGCAUGAGAGUAUCAUGAAGAUUACUCUAGAGGAGCUUGCAGGGUAUAUCCCUCUCCCAGCACCUUAGCCCUGGUAGAGGAGCUACUGGGCUGCUACAGGGCACAGACAUGGGUGAGACUCCAUCAUCAUGCCAUCAAGUAUCCCACAAGCAGACUGAUUCCAGUGUCUUUGGAGCCAACCAACAAACAUGGUGGCAGAAAUUGGAGUAUUUGCCACACAGGUCACUGUCCUGCCAGGUGGUUCCAAGACCAACUGUUCUCUGGCACAGUCAUUUACAGCAUUUGGAAAUUUUAACUCUGUGUCAAGACUGGAAGACGUGUCACCAGUCUUGGUGAGGGCAGGUGAAGUCACCCUUCCCUACAAUAGUUCCUCUUUGGGAUGCUUCCUUGCUUCCAUCAUCAUCAUCAUAAUUGUGAUCAGGGGGACAAUACCACAUCCACUGUACGAAAUUAUUCUUGGUGAUGGGAAUUCUAUGUAUAGUUUUGAUCACUGCUUCCUCAAUAUAUGUGGAUUGGACCUUCAAAUGUGACACCUGCUGCUUUUAAAAUGUGUUUGUUUUAUGCAUGUUGAAUUUCUGUUAAGGGCUAUAGUCUCCUAGAGAAAAGGACAUUGUCUUAAAAGAUUUUAUUUGUUCUUUCUGCACCCCUUCCCUAGUAUUUUAUAAACAAGCAAGUAGAAAGACAUCAAAAGUUUUUUUGGAUUGGAGUCUUUAAAGACAAGGGAAAGAAAUGGUCGUGGCUGUCAGGAACGGAGGCUGCAGUCCACUACUGGAAUUACUAUGAGCCAAAUUAUGAAGCGAACCAUGACUGUGUUGCUGUGUCCUAUGAGUGCUACUAUGAAAAAUGCUGGAUGGCAUUCGAAUGUGAUCUGCAAAUACACUGUAUUUGUAAGAAGGUGCCUAAUGAUACUUGGCUCUAAGAAGACACCUUAAGAUGAACGUUAACUGGAUCCCAUGAUCACUACACAAAACCAAAACCAAGAGAUCACCCCACGGUUUUAAUGCACAAUCCACACCCUGCCACCUAGAUUAUGGGACUCUCUGGCAUCAACCCUCAAACACACAUUGAAAAGACCUUAAUCUGCAAGCUCAAACAUAGAUGGCUACGAAAAUAAAGAAUGGAAGGGUCCAGUCAUA